RNAcentral lists this ribosomal RNA (1554 nucleotides) under Escherichia coli. RNAcentral's name for it is "bacterial SSU rRNA". It matches the Rfam family "Bacterial small subunit ribosomal RNA". Lineage: Bacteria; Pseudomonadati; Pseudomonadota; Gammaproteobacteria; Enterobacterales; Enterobacteriaceae. The record is from RNAcentral.
AAAUUGAAGAGUUUGAUCAUGGCUCAGAUUGAACGCUGGCGGCAGGCCUAACACAUGCAAGUCGAACGGUAACAGGAAACAGCUUGCUGUUUCGCUGACGAGUGGCGGACGGGUGAGUAAUGUCUGGGAAACUGCCUGAUGGAGGGGGAUAACUACUGGAAACGGUAGCUAAUACCGCAUAACGUCGCAAGACCAAAGAGGGGGACCUUAGGGCCUCUUGCCAUCGGAUGUGCCCAGAUGGGAUUAGCUAGUAGGUGGGGUAACGGCUCACCUAGGCGACGAUCCCUAGCUGGUCUGAGAGGAUGACCAGCCACACUGGAACUGAGACACGGUCCAGACUCCUACGGGAGGCAGCAGUGGGGAAUAUUGCACAAUGGGCGCAAGCCUGAUGCAGCCAUGCCGCGUGUAUGAAGAAGGCCUUCGGGUUGUAAAGUACUUUCAGCGGGGAGGAAGGGAGUAAAGUUAAUACCUUUGCUCAUUGACGUUACCCGCAGAAGAAGCACCGGCUAACUCCGUGCCAGCAGCCGCGGUAAUACGGAGGGUGCAAGCGUUAAUCGGAAUUACUGGGCGUAAAGCGCACGCAGGCGGUUUGUUAAGUCAGAUGUGAAAUCCCCGGGCUCAACCUGGGAACUGCAUCUGAUACUGGCAAGCUUGAGUCUCGUAGAGGGGGGUAGAAUUCCAGGUGUAGCGGUGAAAUGCGUAGAGAUCUGGAGGAAUACCGGUGGCGAAGGCGGCCCCCUGGACGAAGACUGACGCUCAGGUGCGAAAGCGUGGGGAGCAAACAGGAUUAGAUACCCUGGUAGUCCACGCCGUAAACGAUGUCGACUUGGAGGUUGUGCCCUUGAGGCGUGGCUUCCGGAGCUAACGCGUUAAGUCGACCGCCUGGGGAGUACGGCCGCAAGGUUAAAACUCAAAUGAAUUGACGGGGGCCCGCACAAGCGGUGGAGCAUGUGGUUUAAUUCGAUGCAACGCGAAGAACCUUACCUGGUCUUGACAUCCACGGAAGUUUUCAGAGAUGAGAAUGUGCCUUCGGGAACCGUGAGACAGGUGCUGCAUGGCUGUCGUCAGCUCGUGUUGUGAAAUGUUGGGUUAAGUCCCGCAACGAGCGCAACCCUUAUCCUUUGUUGCCAGCGGUCCGGCCGGGAACUCAAAGGAGACUGCCAGUGAUAAACUGGAGGAAGGUGGGGAUGACGUCAAGUCAUCAUGGCCCUUACGACCAGGGCUACACACGUGCUACAAUGGCGCAUACAAAGAGAAGCGACCUCGCGAGAGCAAGCGGACCUCAUAAAGUGCGUCGUAGUCCGGAUUGGAGUCUGCAACUCGACUCCAUGAAGUCGGAAUCGCUAGUAAUCGUGGAUCAGAAUGCCACGGUGAAUACGUUCCCGGGCCUUGUACACACCGCCCGUCACACCAUGGGAGUGGGUUGCAAAAGAAGUAGGUAGCUUAACCUUCGGGAGGGCGCUUACCACUUUGUGAUUCAUGACUGGGGUGAAGUCGUAACAAGGUAACCGUAGGGGAACCUGCGGUUGGAUCACCUCCUUACCUUAAAGAAGC